Molecule: unclassified non-coding RNA, 798 nt
Filed under: Hevea brasiliensis (rubber tree)
Lineage: Eukaryota; Viridiplantae; Streptophyta; Magnoliopsida; Malpighiales; Euphorbiaceae
Source: RNAcentral
CGCAAUUAGAAUGCUAAAUAAUACCAAAUUAAGCUGAAAUUACAUGGAAAUUAGAACUUCAUAACAAUAUACAUUUUAAGGUGCAUGAAGUCUAUCAAGUGAAAUAUACUGGACACCUUUUAUUCCUGUAACUAGCCAAGAUCGAGCCGUCCGUGCCCACACCGACAGCACAGCUGGCGUGCAUCCGAUGGCGCUUGCUAUCCCACGUGGACACCUUAAAUUGAAUGUUCGAUGUUAUAUCUAAACGAAAGAUCACCGUCCCUUGCGUGCGAUCAUUCAAGAACUCCAUCCAACGCUGGCUAUUCACCGUCAGGGUGGCCCCACUUAAGACUCCAUACAUAAUCGUAGUAUUCUUGGGCUCUUGAUAAAACGGGUCCAACAACGGAAUAUACCCGAUCCGUUGAUCCUUGUAGUAAACCGAACCUUCCACGUUAUCGUAAUGAAAUCCGAUGUGCUGGUUCGAAUUCCGGGCCGUUACAUUGAAGGUUAUCAGGGCAUUCUCAAACCCGUUGGGUUGACCCAAACCUGGAACAGAAAAAUCGUGGAUGAAGAUCCGAGGCCGAUGCGGGCGUAAGCUAAGCCAUAGAAUGAAAAAAACAAUGCCAACGACUAGAAGAAUGAUCAAGAAAAUAGCACAUAUAAGCUUGGAGACGCGGGUGGUGAGGCUUUCACGGACUCGGUGAGCAUAGUAGCGAGGGGUGUGGUGGCGCUUUAUGGCCGGAGGUUCCUGGCCGGUGCGAACAGGGAAUCUUUCGAAGUUGUUCAUUUCCAGAGAAAUAUCUGUGAAUAGAAGCUUUC